GUCAGGAUUGCCGAGCGGUCUAAGGCGCCAGACUGAAGUUUCAAAAUUUGCUCCGCUAAUGUGCAGCCAAAGGGCGUUCUGGUCCACUAAUAUGGGCGUGGGUUCGAAUCCCACUCCUGACA
RNAcentral lists this transfer RNA (122 nucleotides) under Paramuricea clavata. It matches the Rfam family "tRNA". From Rfam's summary of the family: Transfer RNA (tRNA) molecules are approximately 80 nucleotides in length. Their secondary structure includes four short double-helical elements and three loops (D, anti-codon, and T loops). Lineage: Eukaryota; Metazoa; Cnidaria; Anthozoa; Malacalcyonacea; Plexauridae. The record is from Rfam by way of RNAcentral.